GCUUGCCACCGUCUUGGAAGCAGCCUGCCACCAUCUUGGGAGCUCUGUGAGCAAGGACCCCUGGUAUUUUGGCGACCACGAAGGGACAUCCAAAGCUCUUAACUAAUGCUUGUAAUGUUUACUGCCUGUCUUUUCAACUUGGUCUACUGAGUCUUUAAUACUGGUGACUGAGCUGCUUGAAGUGAACUCUGGACAAGGUGGAGAGCAUCUUCUUGAUUUAGGAUUCACAGUUUCUGAAAGGACCAUGGACUAAUUGGAUCACAAGCAAACUGAAACAUUACAGGAAAUAAUGCUGCAAAGCUGGGCAUAGUGACAUGCACCUGGAGUCCCAGCUACUCGGGAGGCUGAGGCAGGAGGAUUGCUUGAGCCCAGGAGUUCAAAGUUGCAGUGCACUAUCAUGGCACCUUUGAAGAGCCACUGCACUCGCACUCUAGCCAGGGGAGCAUAGUGACACUUCAUCUAUUAUAGAAAAUACUAUAUAAAAUUAUGAAAAGAGAGAAUACUGAAUGAAUAUAUAUAUAUAUAUAUAUAGCCUUUGUAAAUUUUUCUUCAGCAUAUCUAUCUAGGUGUUGCAUUAUUUUACCAAAUAAUAGAGUUCACAUAAAUCUGCAGAGUUUUCAAAGAGACUGUAUUGAAAUUAGUGCUUGCGUACAUUAUUAUUUAGUGAAAAUUUAAAAAUGAUGGCAUAAUGUUUUGUUUCACUUUCCCAUGUUAAUAGUAAGGUAUACCCAAAGUACAUUUCUUAUUAAGAAAAAAAGAAGACUGGGGUCACCUUGAUCAAAAAUUACCUGUAUACUAGUUCAAAUAUAUUAUAUAUGAACUACAGUUUAAGAAAUAUCAUCAAAUAUUAUUAAUAGAUUCUACUAUCUAAAAAUUCUGCUAUAGCAUUAUAUUUUAUGGCUAAAAAGCUUGAUACUGGUUGUUACAGUAAAUCUUUACUAAUUUAUGAAGCAUCAAAUUCAGAUUUUUAAAAAUUAUGUCAAGCUCAAGCUAUUUAGAAUUCAGUAUAAUUUUAUAUACUACAUAAAAAGAAAAUAGCUUAAAA
Symphalangus syndactylus (siamang) is the source of this 1045-nucleotide long non-coding RNA. RefSeq lists it as uncharacterized. The record is from RefSeq and is a predicted model, not a curated record. Lineage: Eukaryota; Metazoa; Chordata; Mammalia; Primates; Hylobatidae.